AGUCAGCAAGUGCUGCUUACAAUCAAAACAUCCAGGAGACUUUGUCAGUGUCAGCAAAAGUCCGAUUAGGAGCCUACCUGGUUUCCUGCCAGUUUGCUUGGCUCCUGAGCUGCCUGGGAGUCGCUACGGGGCCAGGCCCCCAGCAUUUCUGCCCUUUGGUUCUUCCACAGGAGAGUUGCCAGGGACUUCGGGGAGCUGGAGAGGUGGGACUAGAAGUAUCCAGAGAACUUUAUUCAGCAUAUUCAUGAGUGUUACAAAAAGGUGACAAAAUCAUAGAGUCUUUUUUAUUAGGAUGUGAAUCUGUUUGUUGGAAAAAGUUCCAGUUCUUUGUGAUCAAAAAUGCCACUUCUUAUUCAGGUCUGUUUCUACUCCCAUCUCACUUAAAGCAGCCAGCAUCUGAUAGCUGGAUUGUCUCCACUGAUGGUUGUUUUCUCAAGGAAUCACCUUUCAGCUGUAGAUCAGGCUUUGAGUAAGUGAGGUAUCUGAGGGCAUCAGUCUCAUGUUGUGUCUCAUAUUAAAGAAGGUAUUGUGACAGUCUCAUGUUUCCUUAGAGAAAAUACCUCUCUAAUCUAGAGAGAGCUCGUUUUUGACUUCUCAUUGUUUUCUCUGAUUAUUUUUUUCUGAAUAAAGUUAAAUAACACCUCUGUUGCUCAGCUGGGUUGCCAUCACACACAAGGUGGUUGUAUUUGCUGAUUUCAAGUUGUAUUUUUUUUGGUUUUGCUAUUAGAAUCAAGGAAAAGCAGCACAUUUCUUCAGUACUACGCUUAAAAUGUAACCCAGAGAACAUCACAAGCACUCUGAGAAUUCUGAGCACUUUCUGGCCAUGCCUCCAGCCUGUCAAUAAGAAGCUUUGUCAUAACAUUCUCCUGAGAACAAAUACGUCCAAAUAAAGUAUCUCAAAGGCCACACUCAAAUCAUGAAGUACUUGCCAGGUACCUUCUAAUGAUGUGGCCACUUCAGGAGAGUUACCUGGGCUUUGGGGACCUGAUGGAUGCUAAAACUUCUGUUUGUGUAAUGGUUCCUAAAGGAAAUUACAUUCUGAGCUGUGUAGCUUUUCAACCCAAACUGGGUCCUUUAAUCAUCCAAGCUCUUAUUCAAAUCGUUGCUGAAGUUACAAAACUAGGAUGGUUUGAUGUACUAAAAGAUGGGCCUAUCUUCAGAGACAUUAUUGCUGAUGUAAAAAAAAAAAAUUUGCAGCUGCUGUGGAGAUGCAUUUCUGAUCCCUGUCUGUGUGAACAUCAAGCCCAGAACUUCUGCUGACAAAAGUAGAUGGGAAAAUUUAAGCUAUUUGGCAAUUUCCUUCCAGGAUCAUCCAUUAUCCGUGUAUGUGGUGGUGAUCCUGGUAAUUCAGCAAGAAAACACGAAGUUAACAGGUUUUGUUUCUUGAUAAUGAGUUUCUCCUUUGCUUUUCAGUCUUACUUUGUUUAUAAUACUGUUUGAGUUAAUGUACUUUUUGAGUUACUUUGGGAAUGCCUAAUAAAAGAUAAGUUGCAAUAAUCUGCUUAUUAAAAACAAACUCAAGUAUACUUCUCUACCAUUUUGCAGUUAUUUUUAUGAAUGUACUGUAAUUGGAAUUUGCAUUUAUUAUUAAAAUGAUUGCAGUGUGACUCUUCAGU
Molecule: long non-coding RNA, 1616 nt
Organism: Myiozetetes cayanensis
Lineage: Eukaryota; Metazoa; Chordata; Aves; Passeriformes; Tyrannidae
Exons: 4
Source: RefSeq, a predicted model, not a curated record